RNAcentral lists this ribosomal RNA (253 nucleotides) under uncultured bacterium. RNAcentral describes it as "partial 16S ribosomal RNA". It matches the Rfam family "Bacterial small subunit ribosomal RNA", at positions 524 to 776 of the family's 1533-position model. The record is from RNAcentral.
UACGAAGGGGGCUAGCGUUGCUCGGAAUCACUGGGCGUAAAGAGUGCGUAGGCGGUGCUCUAAGUCUGGUGUGAAAUCUCCCGGCUCAACUGGGAGGGUGCGCCGGAAACUGGAGUGCUUGAGUGUGGGAGAGGUAAGCGGAAUUCCUGGUGUAGCGGUGAAAUGCGUAGAUAUCAGGAGGAACACCUGUGGUGUAGACAGCUUACUGGACCACGACUGACGCUGAGGCACGAAAGCGUGGGUAGCAAACAGG